AGAACCGUUCCCUAAGAAUUGAGUGAGAAUCUAAGUGUACAACAAAAACUAUAACAUAAGAAAAGGAAAGAAACAAAUCUGGCAAUUUGUUUAACUAUUCAGUAUCCAAUUAGAGUCUGUUCUUCCACGUAGCUCCACCCCCAAGGUGUUGUGCUCCAUAGGCCGCAGUUGAACCUACCGUUGUCAUGGCUACUAACCAGCUGAGGUAAGUGAUAUAUGUUUGAGUUUCGGCAUUACCCAGAUCCGGUUGAAGGAGAGCUGCAGCAACAAGGGCCAAUUGCAGAACUGUAUUUACCUUGCUUAUCAAAAGAGGCUCAACUUUCUGAGGACGGGCUCCAUCAAGGUUGAAGAAUUCAUACCAGCUUGACCACUUCCACUCUAAUAUGCUAGCUCUUUUAUAUACCGCACCACCA
This 413-nucleotide unclassified non-coding RNA is filed under the name Hevea brasiliensis (rubber tree). Lineage: Eukaryota; Viridiplantae; Streptophyta; Magnoliopsida; Malpighiales; Euphorbiaceae. The record is from RNAcentral.